Molecule: ribosomal RNA, 712 nt
Filed under: uncultured bacterium
Lineage: Bacteria
Description: bacterial SSU rRNA
Rfam family: Bacterial small subunit ribosomal RNA
Source: RNAcentral
GGUGAGUAACACGUGGGUAACCUGCCUGUAAGACUGGGAUAACUCCGGGAAACCGGGGCUAAUACCGGAUGGUUGUUUGAAUCGCAUGGUUCAAACAUAAAAGGUGGCUUCGGCUACCACUUACAGAUGGACCCGCGGCGCAUUAGCUAGUUGGUGAGGUAACGGCUCACCAAGGCGACGAUGCGUAGCCGACCUGAGAGGGUGAUUGGCCACACUGGGACUGAGACACGGCCCAGACUCCUACGGGAGGCAGCAGUAGGGAAUCUUCCGCAAUGGACGAAAGUCUGACGGAGCAACGCCGCGUGNNGUGAUGAAGGUUUUCGGAUCGUAAAGCUCUGUUGUUAGGGAANAACAAGUACCGUUCGAAUAGGGCGGUACCUUGACGGUACCUAACCAGAAAGCCACGGCUAACUACGUGCCAGCAGCCGCGGUAAUACGUANGUGGCAAGCGUUGUCCGGAAUUAUUGGGCGUAAAGGGCUCGCAGGCGGUUUCUUAAGUCUGAUGUGAAAGCCCCCGGCUCAACCGGGGAGGGUCAUUGNAAACUGGGGAACUUGAGUGCANAAGANGAGAGUGGAAUUCCACGUGUAGCGGUGAAAUGCGUANNGAUGUGGAGGAACACCAGUGGCGAANGCGACUCUCUGGUCUGUAACUGACGCUGANGAGCGAAAGCGUGGGGAGCGAACAGGAUUANAUACCCUGGUAGUCCACGCC